This is a non-coding RNA of Bos taurus (domestic cattle), 72 nucleotides long. Lineage: Eukaryota; Metazoa; Chordata; Mammalia; Artiodactyla; Bovidae. The record is from Rfam.
UCCCUGGUGGCUCAGACGGUAAAGCAUCUGCAUACAAUGCAGGAGACCUGGGUUCAAACCCUGGGUCGGGAA